AGCCCGUGAUGAAUCUUUAAUUCUGACACCUCGAAUGAGUAUUGCAUUAGCAAUGCUUGAUUACAUUACCUGGCUGAGGCUC
Small nucleolar RNA from Pristis pectinata (smalltooth sawfish), 82 nucleotides. RefSeq annotates it as small nucleolar RNA SNORD60. The transcript has a single exon. The record is from RefSeq and is a predicted model, not a curated record. NCBI's taxonomy places the organism in Eukaryota, Metazoa, Chordata, Chondrichthyes, Rhinopristiformes, Pristidae.